RNAcentral lists this long non-coding RNA (6020 nucleotides) under Cucumis sativus (cucumber). Its description in RNAcentral is "long non-coding RNA (CSAT_LNC002736)". The record is from RNAcentral. Lineage: Eukaryota; Viridiplantae; Streptophyta; Magnoliopsida; Cucurbitales; Cucurbitaceae.
AUUAAGAUGCAGAAAAUAAGGUAUUUAAGAUGCAGAAAAUAAGGUAGUUAAGAUGCAGAAAAUAAGGUAACACCCCACAUCACUACAGUGCAUAACAAAUCUAUCACAUAAGCACAAAGAUAAAUACUGAGAGUAUUAGUUGAAACUUAGCAAACACAAAAAGGACAUAAGCUUAUUCUCAAAUUUCAGUACAUAUACUCAUCAAAAUUCAGAAUCUCACGUCACAAACCCGAGCUUAGUGCUCAAGGGUGUGACAGUCAUGCCUUUUAUGCAAGAUCUAAGAAGCUAUGAUGCUCAUUAUUGUAAUGAAAAACUUUUGAAAAAUUUUGAAAUUUGGACAAAAUUUGAAAUCCCCCAAGUUUAGACCAAACAAGUGAGCUAUUAUCCACCCUUCGCUUAAAACAUUGCUUGGUAGUAGCCCAACAUGAGAAGAUAAAACAAUCUGAAUGCAGGCGAUCCUAUAAACUAUUAAAACAAUAGCCACAACCGAUGAAAAUCAAGUUGGAUAAACAACCAUUUGAUGAAGGGAGGGCGUUGAGCUUGUCUAAGAAAAACAUACUCUUUGAGGGUUUAUGGCAGCAGCAGCAACAUACAUAUCCAGCUUUCCUGUAGGUAUUCCUAUUCCCUAAACUCCAAGGUCACGGAGGCCAAGAAUACGACUUCCAUCUGUCAAGACAAUCAUGUCAACUUGUAGUUGGAAGAAGAAAAUACAAUGAACUUCAAAAAUAUAUAUAUAUCUAUAAAGCAUAACAAUUAUCCCACUGCUGAAAGAAAUAAUAUUUGUUAUUCUAUGUAUAUAAUUCACAAAUUAAUAGACCAUUAUCUCAAUGUACAAAUUGUGUGAAGCUAAGGUCUCUGAAACAACUUAAAGAGGGUUGAAGAAGUGUACCAGAAGUUUUUCAUUAGCCAUCAAUCCAGGAAAUAAAUGAAGCAUCAAGCUUGUCUAAUAAACUGAACUGGGUCCUCAAUAUUUAACACAAAUUACACAAAAAUCUAGGGAGGGGGGCUAUGAUUUACAUACGUAAAAUACUUAGAGGUUUGAAAAUAACUUAUUGCAUUCACUAUACACCGAGUAAGAAGAGAACGAAGGCGACGGGAGAAAGGAAAGGGGAUAAGGAAAAGAGGAGAACAGAAAGAGAACAACGACAAGAGGAACCAAUUUAUUUUGGGGAAAGAGGUAUUUUAGGAAUUUUCAUUUUUAUGGAGGGACCGACUGUGAUUUUAACUAAACGGGAUAGUUGCAAAUUUAGCAAUUAACUAAAAGAGGAUAAAGAAGAUAAUAAACAUAAAACUGGAGAGUAUCAUUUCCUAAACCAUUCAACAUGUAGCUAAUAGAGUGGCACACCGGUAAGAGAAAUAAUCUUUGUAUCCUUCCAAUUAAUUUAUUUGAUAUUCUAGAAGUAUAAAUAAAAUUGAAAACUAAGAAUGCUCAGUUUUACCUUGACCGUGCAAAUGGUCUAUCUUUCUCGAGUUCUAACUCCAUAAGUUCAACUUCUGCUUUUCGGUUUUUAGCUAAGCCCUUGCCCCAUUCCAACUUUAUCUCCUGUGACCGGAAGACCAGCAUCACAAGCAGCCACAGUGGGAUUUGAUAAAAACAUUGAUAAGAACUAUAUCUCCUGAGAAGUAUAUAGUCUAAAGUGGAAUUUUAAUUUAAAUCAUAACUCUUGAAUACCACCCUAAGACUUCAAUACUAUACUUUAAUUCAACCAACCACUAAUAAACAUAGAACAAGAAAUUGGAACAAGUCUGAAUUAUUAAUAUCAGACAAAGCCUGAAUGUUAGAAUAUUCAUCAAUAUGAAUAAAGAUGAAACAAGUCUAAACUCAAGAUAGAUAGUUUUUAGAAGCUUUAAAUUGGUAGCUUUUCAACAUAGUCAACAAAACAUGAAGCAUACCCAAAGAAUACUUUAAUUAGCUUUAUGCAUAAAGUAGCUAAAAAGUAAGAGAAAGCUUCAUGCUAUUAAAUUAAUUGGAAACAGCAACAACAGAAAAUCAGCUUGAUUAAACAAGUGCUUAAUAAUCUUUUAAUUGAGCCAAACAAGCUGAACCACACCAUUCAAUCCCGAUCUAGUCAAAAGCAAACAACCCAAAUGCUGAAUUUCAUAUUGAUUCCUCCCAACAUGUAUAUAUAUCUAAACAUGAAACCAAAACUUCCCAAUUUUGCAUAGGCCUAAAAAAGACAUGAAUUUAAGAUAAUUAGAAAAGUUAUCUAGGGUACCCAAAAGAUCGCUGGUUUUUUUAAUAUUAUUAUUAUUGGAAAACUUAACUACCUGCAAGAGGAACCUCUUCAAUAGGAAGUUCUGCACCAAGAUCACCUCUGGCAACCAUUGCCUAAAAUGAAAAGAAAUAAUGUUCUUCAAUUAGCAACCAAGCCCCAGACUAUCAACAAAAUUGAAAACCUUUUAAUGAAAUUCAACAUUAACGAAGCUGUGAAAAAAUUCAAACAAUCACCCCAUCAGAAGCUGUAAUAAUUGAAUGCAAAUUUGGUAUGGAGUAUACACUUUCUAUUUUUACAAUCACAUGAAUAGCAGCAUCACAGCCUGCAGAGUCGGAUAUUAAAAAUUCAAACCCAUAAAGUCUAACUAACUAAACACAAUUAGAUUUCUAGUAGCAGUAAUUUAACACAGAAACAGAAAUUAAACAUUAGAACAUUAUUCCAUGGCAUUUCUAUAAAUUUAUCACAUGUUCUUUCUUCUUCUUUUUUUUCUUUCCUUUUUUGAUAUAACUCUAACCAUGUAGUUAAGCUUCUCCCUGUAGCAGUUAAUUAAAAUAGAGACAGAAACUAUAGAUUAACAAACAAUUGGAAGGCCUCUCGAUCAAUUUAUCUAACAAUAAGUUCAUACUUGUGUCUUUUUGGAAGUAUGAAAAACGAGAAAUCACUAUUUUCCCUAAACGAGAAACCUCUUCGUUCCGUUUUUGUUGAUUAUUCAUCCUUGUUCUUCACAGGAAAUUCUCUCAAUUUUCUUCAAAGGAAGGAUCAAGUUCUCUCCUACAAAGGGUAUGUUUCUAAUUUUCCUAACUUUAUGACAUAAUAUGGCAGUGUUGUAUAAUGCAAAUCUACAAUAGAAGAAACACCAUUUACAGCAGAGCCAAGAAAAAUGAAGAUUAAAUAUAAUGUACUGCAAUAAAAUUAAAAUACUAAAGAAUGUGUUAGGAUGUGCUUUCUCAAUCUACAUCCUAAACCCCUAAACCCAUAAACCUCUAAACCCAACAUCCUGAUGUGCUUUUUCAAUCUACAUCCUUCUCAAAGAAACAUCCUGAUGUGCUUUCUUAAUCUACAUCCUUCUCAAAGAAAUGAAUUGAAAAAUCUCUAAAAGUUUCCUCAUCAAACAAUACCAUCCAACAAUGUUUAAGAAGGAUAGUAAAAAGGAAGAAGAAUGAUGUAAUGGUGUUUAAAGAGGAUAGUAAAACGGAACAAAUAGUGAUUAGCCUAAUUCUUCAAAAAAAACAUUAAGUUUUGAGUUGUGGCAAUAUGAACUAGGAUCUCCUUUACAAUUGUGCUCUAAAGAUAUUGAAGACAAUUUAUAGAAUAAAUCAAACUUAUUAAUGAUAAUAAUAGAAUUAGUAAUGACGAAAUUACAUAUCCUUUAAAAUUUUUUGUUAAGUGAAAAUUAUGAGGUUUCUUUCCGCUUUUGUGUGUUCUCAUGUUUAAUUGUACUUUAUCGUACCAAUUUAGAAUUUUAAAAUGUUUUUAAUUCACCAUUUGAGGCUUCAUCUUGCCUCUUCAAGUCAAAAUACCUCACAGCCAGCCUUUGUUGAGUUAUUUUCUAUUGAAUAAUAGAUUGUGUUUUCUUUUUGGUCAAGAGACCAAAGUAGAUUAGUUACAAUUAGAAACAAAAAGGUGGAUUUCGAUUUCCCAUAAUAAACAAUAAGAGUGGAUCACCCAACAAGUCAUAAACCUACUAUCAUUUAUGUUCCACUUGAUCCAAACAUAACAAACAAAAAUGAAAGGUUUGGACUUACUUGAGAAUUAGUGUUGAAAAAAGAUAGUUGUAUGACCUUGUUAGCAUAUGAGUAACAACUUGAAAAUGCAUCGAGAAUCUACAAAAUUAUUUAACAUUAGUAGUUAAGAUGCAGAAAAUAAGGAAACACCCCACAUCACUACAGCGGAUAACAAAUCUGCCACAUAAGCACAAAGAUAUAAAUACUGAGAGUAUUAUUUGAAACUUAGCAAACUCAAACAGGACACUGAUUUGGAGCUAUGCCUGAGGGAAAAAUAAAUCAUGAACACUGAUUUCAACUCCAAGAUGCUUCUAAAAGGCUUGUCUUACACCGAUUGAGGCAAGUCCUUGCUAAACUUUCUCUUUCUUGUAUCUUUUUCAAAAAACGCUCUCUGUCUCAUUUGCACUUAUUUCUCUCUUCUUCUUCCACGCUUAAUGAAGAAAACCCUUAAUGAAGAAAAAAUAAGAAAUCAACCCUAAACCCCUCAACCCAACAUCCUGGUGUGCUUUCUCAAUCUACAUCCUUCUCAAAGAAACAUACUGAUGUGCUUUCUUAAUCUACAUCCUUCUCAAAGAAAUGAAUUGAAAAAUCUCUUCUCAGAGAAAUGAAUUGAAAAAUCUCUAAAAGUUUCCUCAUCAAACAAUACCAUGCAACAAUGUUUAAAAAGGAUAGUAAAAAGGAAGAACAAUGACGUAAUGGUGUUUAAAGAGAAUGGUAAAAAGGAACAAAGAUGGUAAGGAGAAAUUUAUUUUCAACUUAAUCAUGAAGAACAGUUCAACAAAAAAUAAAUAAUAAAUUUAAGGCACUUGGGAAAGCAACAAACCUGCUUCUGUAACUCAAGAAGCUGCCGCUCUUUCUCAUGAAUGUGUUCUUCAAGUUCAUGCAAAUGUUUUAUUUGCUGAGCUCUUUCAGCUUCAGAAUGAUCAUGUUCUCUCCUACAAAUGAUAACUCAAUGACUUAAUAUGGCAGUCUUGUAUAAUACAAAUCCAUAAUAGAAGAAACACCACUUACAGCAGAGCCAAGAAAAAUGAAGAUUGUAUGUAAUGUACAGCAAUAAAAUUAAAAUACCAGAGAAUGUGUUAGGGUGUAGAGCAAAUCAUCUUCACUGCAAUUAUUCGGGAGGUUCUGUAAAGAUAAUUCCAAUACCAGAACCUUCUUACCUCAUAUAUAGUCCUUUCAUCCGACUCUGUCAACUUUGCUCUUUCCGUUUCCUGCACAUCAAAUAAGCUUCAAUUUCAACCAAACUCGUAAAGGUUACAACUCUCACGUGAUGCUAAUUGAACGGAAGUUUAGAAACUGGGACAGGGUAUGAGCUAACUUCAUUAUGCUCAAGCAACAAAUUUUAUGUUAUGUAAGCAUAAAUAUUAACUAGAGGCUUAAAUAAAAUAUUUCACCACCACCACCACAACAACAAAAAGCCCAGAUAUAUCGCCAUUGACAACAGAAACAGAGCAAUAUAAACACAAUACAUUACAAGGAAAAUAUGGAGAUAAAAGACAUGAAGGUUUCCCUUUCACUUACAAAGAGGAUCAUUAAGUAACUUCUCGUUGUUAGAACCAAUAUCUAGCAUUACUGGAAGAAUCUGUCAAUUAAACAAGAGUAAACUUAAUGAAAUUCAGAAAGUGGGGUUAAGAAAAGUUGCUAAAAAAAUGUCACCAUUAAAUGAUAUUAGUAUUCUUAGAUAGUCUACAAAUUUCAUGAAGAAAAGACAACAGACUUGAGAGUUACCCCCACUAUCAGGAAUACUUGCUUGAACGGGAAAAGAUAUCGGCAAAUUCUAAACACGGCACAGUAAACUCUCACUCUCCUGGUUCUUGCUUAAAAUCACAUGUACAUGUCAUUGCCGAUAGUGCCUCUUUCACUGAAACAAACCAAAUUUCAGUACCAAUUAAGAUGCAGAAAAUAAGGUAUUUAAGAUGCAGAAAAUAAGGUAGUUAAGAUGCAGAAAAUAAGGAAACACCCCACAUCACUACAGUGCAUAACAAAUCUAUCACAUAAGCACAAAGAUAAAUACUGAGAGUAUUAGUUGAAAGUUAGCAAGCACAAAAAGGACAUAAGCUUAUUCUCAAAUUUCAGUACA